GUCCGAUGGUUGAGACCAGGUCUGAGGAAGUAUUCCUGUCAACUCACAAUCGACACAAACACAGUGAACACAAACCUCCAACUGUCUGACAACAACAGGAAGGUGACACAUGUGGAGGAGGUUCAGUCAUAUCUUGAUCAUCCACACAGAUUUGAUGUUCAUCAGCUGCUGUGUAGAAAUGGUCUGACUGGUCGCUGUUACUGGGAGGUCGAGUGGA
This is a long non-coding RNA of Oreochromis niloticus (Nile tilapia), 217 nucleotides long. RefSeq lists it as uncharacterized. NCBI's taxonomy places the organism in Eukaryota, Metazoa, Chordata, Actinopteri, Cichliformes, Cichlidae. The transcript has 2 exons. The record is from RefSeq and is a predicted model, not a curated record.